RNAcentral lists this ribosomal RNA (496 nucleotides) under uncultured bacterium. RNAcentral's name for it is "partial 16S ribosomal RNA". It matches the Rfam family "Bacterial small subunit ribosomal RNA", at positions 28 to 506 of the family's 1533-position model. The record is from RNAcentral.
GAUGAACGCUGGCGGCGUGCCUAAUACAUGCAAGUCGAGCGAACGGACGAGAAGCUUGCUUCUCUGAUGUUAGCGGCGGACGGGUGAGUAACACGUGGAUAACCUACCUAUAAGACUGGGAUAACUUCGGGAAACCGGAGCUAAUACCGGAUGAUAUUUUGAACCGCAUGGUUCAAAAGUGAAAGACGGUCUUGCUGUCACUUAUAGAUGGAUCCGCGCUGCAUUAGCUAGUUGGUAAGGUAACGGCUUACCAAGGCAACGAUGCAUAGCCGACCUGAGAGGGUGAACGGCCACAAUGGAACUGAGACACGGUCCAGAAUCCUACGGGAGGCAGCAGUAGGGAAUCUUCCGCAAUGGGCGAAAGCCUGACGGAGCAACGCCGCGUGAGUGAUGAAGGUCUUCGGAUCGUAAAACUCUGUUAUUAGGGAAGAACAUAUGUGUAAGUAACUGUGCACAUCUUGACGGUACCUAAUCAGAAAGCCACGGCUAACUACGU